This 549-nucleotide ribosomal RNA is filed under the name uncultured fungus. RNAcentral's name for it is "eukaryotic LSU rRNA". The stretch from base 182 to 335 matches the Rfam family "5.8S ribosomal RNA". The record is from RNAcentral. Lineage: Eukaryota; Fungi.
AUUUCCGUAGGUGAACCUGCGGAGGGAUCAUUACCGAGUUUACAACUCCCAAACCCCUGUGAACAUACCACUUGUUGCCUCGGCGGAUCAGCCCGCUCCCGGUAAAACGGGACGGCCCGCCAGAGGACCCCUAAACUCUGUUUCUAUAUGUAACUUCUGAGUAAAACCAUAAAUAAAUCAAAACUUUCAACAACGGAUCUCUUGGUUCUGGCAUCGAUGAAGAACGCAGCAAAAUGCGAUAAGUAAUGUGAAUUGCAGAAUUCAGUGAAUCAUCGAAUCUUUGAACGCACAUUGCGCCCGCCAGUAUUCUGGCGGGCAUGCCUGUUCGAGCGUCAUUUCAACCCUCAAGCACAGCUUGGUGUUGGGACUCGCGUUAAUUCGCGUUCCCCAAAUUGAUUGGCGGUCACGUCGAGCUUCCAUAGCGUAGUAGUAAAACCCUCGUUACUGGUAAUCGUCGCGGCCACGCCGUUAAACCCCAACUUCUGAAUGUUGACCUCGGAUCAGGUAGGAAUACCCGCUGAACUUAAGCAUAUCAAUAAGCGGAGGAAA